This 407-nucleotide ribosomal RNA is filed under the name uncultured bacterium. RNAcentral's name for it is "partial 16S ribosomal RNA". It matches the Rfam family "Bacterial small subunit ribosomal RNA", at positions 30 to 526 of the family's 1533-position model. The record is from RNAcentral.
AUUGAACGCUAGCGGGAUGCUUUACACAUGCAAGUCGAACGGAGUGGCGGACGGGUGAGUAAUAUAUCGGAAUGUGCCCUGUAGCGGGGGAUAACUACUCGAAAGAGUGGCUAAUACCGCAUACUAUGGGAGCGGCCGAUAUGGGAUGAGCUAGUUGGUGGGGUAAAGGCUCACCAAGGCAACGAUCCCUAGCUGGUGUGAGAGGAUGACCAGCCACACUGGGACUGAGACACGGCCCAGACUCCUACGGGAGGCAGCAGUGGGGAAUUUUGGACAAUGGGGGAAACCCUGAUGCAGCCAUCCCGCGUGUAUGAUGAAGGCCUUCGGGUUGUAAAGUACUUUUGGCAGAGAGGCGGUACCUGCAGAAUAAGCACCGGCUAACUACGUGCCAGCCGCCGCGGUAAUUC